CAAAAUAUUGUCCCUGUUGCCCUUUCUCUUCACUUUCUCCUCUUUCUUUUCUCUUCAGUCUUUCGCGGCUUCUGCGUCUUCAAUUUGUUGACUAAAGCCUCUGUUUGGUUCGUGAGAAAAUUUAGCACAAGAAAGCUGAGUUGGUGGCUGAGUUCCCAACUCCAAUUUAAAGUCCAAGCUAUCUAAUCAGUUGGACAAAGAUGUCGGAUCACAAGGCCAAUAUUAUAGACGGCAAAGCCAUCGCUCAAACCAUCCGCAAUGAAAUCGCCUCUGAAGUCCACUAUCUCUCAAACAAACACGGUAAGGUCCCGGGGCUGGCUGUAGUGAUCGUGGGCAACAGGAAGGAUUCUCAAAGCUAUGUGAGUAUGAAGAGAAAGGCAUGUGCCGAAGUGGGGAUUAAGUCAUUUGACAUAGACCUUCCAGAGCAAGUUUCUGAAGCUGAUUUGGUCGCUAAGGUUCAUGAGUUAAAUGCAAAUCCUGAUGUACAUGGCAUAUUGGUUCAACUUCCAUUGCCGAAGCAUAUAAAUGAAGAGACAGUUCUGACUGAAAUCAGCAUUGAGAAGGAUGUGGAUGGCUUUCAUCCACUAAACAUUGGCAAGCUUGCAAUGAAAGGCAGAGAACCCUUGUUCCAUCCUUGCACCCCCAAGGGGUGUCUUGAACUUCUGUCACGAAGUGGUAUAACUAUAAAGGGGAAAAAGGUAGUCGUGGUGGGUUGAAGUAACAUUGUUGGAUUGCCAGUUUCACUACUGCUUCUGAAAGCAGAUGCUACAGUUACCAUAGUCCAUUCACAUUCUCAAGAUCCCAAAAGAAUAAUUCAUGAUGCAGACAUCAUUAUUGCAGCGGCAGGGCAGGCAAUGAUGGUCAAAGGCAGUUGGAUCAAACCAGGUGCUGCAGUUAUUGAUGUUGGCACAAAUGCAAUCGAUGACCCAAGUAAGAAGUCAGGCUAUAGGCUAGUUGGAGAUGUUGAUUUCCAGGAAGCAUGUAAGGUAGCCGAAUGGAUAACUCCUGUUCCAGGUGGUGUGGGUCCAAUGACUGUUGCAAUGCUAUUGAAGAAUACUUUGGAAGGUGCUAAGCGUGUAAUUGAGCAUUAAAUUCAUGUCUUUGUUCACUUUCGUAAUAAGAUGUUUAUGUCACAAUCCAUCAUCGAAUGUUGCUUCUUUGCUUGUAUGAAUUGUAUAUGAUGACAAUGUUUUGUAAGUGCCAAUGAAGCAAUGAGUACGGCUAAGAAGACAAAUUUAUUUUAA
Molecule: RNA transcript, 1244 nt
Organism: Quercus lobata
Lineage: Eukaryota; Viridiplantae; Streptophyta; Magnoliopsida; Fagales; Fagaceae
Gene name: bifunctional protein FolD 2-like
Exons: 6
Source: RefSeq, a predicted model, not a curated record